Schizosaccharomyces pombe (fission yeast) is the source of this 1001-nucleotide non-coding RNA. Lineage: Eukaryota; Fungi; Ascomycota; Schizosaccharomycetes; Schizosaccharomycetales; Schizosaccharomycetaceae. The record is from the annotation of a GenBank genome assembly.
GCUAGCUUGUUUUUUUUUUUUUUUUUUUUUUUUUUUUUUUUUUAAAGAAACACUUUUCUUUGCUUAAAAAUUCAUAUUAUAACCGAUGCUCCUAACUUGUAGUCGAAAUCAACCUUAUCCUCAUACCUUUAAACCAGCUUAGUAGUAGUAUACAUCUAUGUACAUAUACGUAAACAGAAAGGUUCAGUCAGAAGAAUAAACACAUAAAUUGUCCAAAAAAAUGAAUAGGAAAGAAGAUACAGAAACUGUAAUAGCAGUUGUUGUAGUAUACCCAAAAUCAUUAUGUAUUACUUUUGCUCCUUUUAGAAAUUUUAAUUUUUACUAGCGCUUUUAGAUUUUAGAAUAUUUUAAAGUUGUUUUUCAACAGCUUUUUCUCAAACCUUGCUCACAUGCUAUGAGGAUAUACUUAUUUAAUUUACUUUAUUUUAUAUGUUCUAUAUUUUCUAUCUUUUUUUUGGCUCUGUGUUUUUUUAAAGUAUUUUGAUUUUGUAAAUAAAAAUAAAAAUAAUUUCAAAAUUCAAAACGCUUCAUAUUAUUAACAGUAUUGGAACUUUUUUAAGACCUUAUAAAAAGUUCAUUAAUCCGAAAGAAUUGUUUUAAGGUAGUGAAGAGAUAAUUAAGCUAUUCAAUAUAAAAUUUCUAUUACCUAUAGUGUACUCGUUUUUAUCUGUUUGAAAUUCGAAAUCCCCUUCAUAGAUAUAAUGUUUAUCAAUUGUUUAACAGGCAAUAUACAUUUAUCAGACCAUGAAUGCAGAGAUUAUGAACAACAGUAAUAGUGUUUUUAUGUUACAGUCUAAACAACGAUAACAAUUCCAUGGUGCGAAAACUUUGGAAUACUUUAGUUAUUAUUUGAUACUAAAAUACACAAUUAAAUAAACUAAGGAGUUGUCAGCAUGAUAAACUAGUUUACAAAAAAUGUAAUUUUUAUACUUGCUUGCGUAAAAUCAGGUUAAAUAAAUACUCAUUCCAGCUAGAGAAAUACAAUAAAUACCACUACAAUA